UAUGGAGAAGGAGAAUGAGCUUCGACUUCUGCGCAUCGGUACACUAUGGGGGCCGCCAUUUUAUCAGUUAACCUUAAAGUUUUGUUUACCUACGAGGUUACGACGUUGUUGAACCAGUUGUAAUUUGGAGUUAAAAUUAUUACUUAAUUUGUUUUACCGUUAGUGUACGUGUGAACGUGCUUGUUAGUGUUAAAGGACAUUAUUAUUGACAACACACAUGUCUUGUACAGUUUCUCACUGUAAAAAUUGUCAACGAUUUCGUUCAGAAGGUGUAUCUUUUCAUCAGUUUCCGAAAGAUCGAAAACUUUUAAAAAAGUGGCUGAUUGUUGUGAAAAAAGGUGACAGCUUCAAACUGACUAAGUAUAAGCUGGUGUGCUCAGAUCAUUUCACAACAACUGAUUUCAAUGUUGUAAUUGAGUGAAAACGAUUGAAAUCGAACGCAAUUCCCAGUGUGAAUUUAGAUGAAAGUCUAGAAGCUUCUUCAACUUCAAUGAGUACUGUGAGUGCUACUUCAGCUAUAUUUGAGAAGAGUCUCCAUCGAUUAUACCUCAAGGUGUAAAGAGGACAUUAAGUGCUGCGCAGAGAUACCAUGGAAAAAGCAGUAGCAGUACAAGUGGAAGUAAAAGCAAGAACUCAAAAAGUAGUUCUGACAGGAGGGAAGGUGAUAAGCUGGCGUUACAUAAAGAAACUACAUGAAUUACAAAAUGAUGAAUUCCUAAAUGUUGCAAACAAGUUGAAAAAGGCACAUUUGGAGUGAUGGAAACAUAAAAUGAAAUUCUAUUAUAGGUGAGUUUAGCAGCACAAACUCUUAGCAAGAGUUGCGGAUGCACUUGAAUUUUUAAAAGAUCUUGGUAUUAGUGACUUUCAAGGUUGUGAAACAACAAUAGAAUUCAUCAGAAGGAUAGAUUCUUUAUUUGAUAUUCUCAAUUCUCGAAGUGUACGUGCUAAGAAUUUUAAGGCACCUUUGAGAGAAAACAAUGAAGAAAUGUGGCGUCCAUUUCUCAUCGACACCAGUGAGUAUCUUCUGAAUUUGAAGGAUGUCACUGGCGGGCCUUUGUGGUGCACGCCCCGAAAAACGUCAAUUCUGGGCUUUGUUAUUUCCGCUACGUCGUUCAUGGGAAUUUUUGAUGAAUUUGUUAGUAGUAAGAGGUUGAAUGACUUGCUAACAUAAAUGUAGUCAAGAUCAUCUAGAAAUUUUCUUCUGCUCAGUGCGAUCGAGAAAUGGGUGAAACAAUAACCCUACUCCUCUACGAUUUUGUAAAACUUAGAAGAUUGCUUCUAUUUACAAACAUAACGAGGGAAGGAGGAAAUUGUAAAGUGCUUUGCACCACCUGUCUGCUCUCUGUUAACAUUGGCCCAAAGCAAAAGAGCACAAAUGUUCAACAAUCAGUUGACGUGUUUGUCUUGAAAAAAUAUGAUCUCGAUAUUUUGACUGAAGCACUUGCAGAUCAUGACUAUGACCGUCUAAGUUUAUUGGGCUGAGUGAAGUGGCAGAAAACGUGGCAUAUAUUGGUAGCUAUGUUGUCAAAAUGGUGGUGAAGACGUUUAAGUGCGCAGACUGCAUUUCUUCUUGUAUUGAAACAAGAAGAAGUGACUUACACUUUUACAGAUUAUUGGACAAAAAAAACAUGGGUGGGCUUAUUAAACCUUUUGCUGGGGUUGUGAAGACUUGUUGUUACUGUUAAUACGAAAAAUUUUGCAACUCACCGAUAAACUUCCAAGCGAUGAACAAUUUUUUAAAACUUUCGGCAUGCCAGCAUUCUUUUUCCUAAUUUAGAAGACCCACGCACUCGAGACGGUGGCCAUCGAUGAAGGCCAUUUAUAUAUUCUUAUUAAACAAAUAAUUAAUGCCUACAUGCGAAUAAGAAUGUUUCAUUUGAGCAAAAGACUUUCAUGUCUUGCUCAAGGCACUUCUGUUAGACAUGUGUACACAUAAUUAGUACUGUUUUCGCAUCAAUAAAUAUAUUGAAGUAUAA
Molecule: long non-coding RNA, 1976 nt
Organism: Zophobas morio
Lineage: Eukaryota; Metazoa; Arthropoda; Insecta; Coleoptera; Tenebrionidae
Exons: 6
Source: RefSeq, a predicted model, not a curated record